UUAAAGGCCAUAAUAAUAAUUUUUUUCCAGAUGAUCGUUGCUGCGAUUUACAGAACUAUAUUUUGCUAAUGUUAUAGCUAAAGAUCCCUUAAAGGAUGUUAUGCUUAAUUUUACAAAUGGCUCUUCCAAUGGAAGGACUGCAUAUAUGGUUAACAAUGAAAAAAAAACUGUGGAGCAUGACAUUGGCUUCUUAAAAACAACUUAAGAGGAUAAAAGUUGCAGACAGAUCUGACAUGAUGGCACCAAGGUAGCCUUUGCUAAGGCAAGGUACAAAAGCCCUUGCAAAGAAUUAUAAAAAGACCUGGCCUAUAUUUUGGGUCAAGGAUGUGUUUAUGUUCUUUUUUCACAGAAAGAAAAUAAAGCUGGAUGAGAUGACUAUUAUUCCUUUAAAAACGGCGGGGUGGGGUGUGUAGACGAACACAGGAUAGACGAGACACGCACAAAAGGAAGAGACAAGACACGCGGCUCCCACAAUCUGAGAAGACUGGCACCCACACACUGAGACAAUGGGGAUGUUCUAUCGGGAACUCACCAAGGUCAGCUGGACUGGGUCUGAAAAAGCCUGGGAUAAAACCGGACUCGCUGAACAUAGUGGACAAUGAGGACUACUGAGAACUCACGAACAAUGGCAAUGGGUUUUUGAUCCUACUGCACGUACUGGCUUUGUGGGAGCCUAGGCUGUUUGGAUGCUCACCUUACGAGACCUGGAUGGAGGUGGGUGGUCAAUGGCAUGCCUUUGAUAGGGCCCAUUAAAGACAUCCACAUUGCCCACUUCCUGCUCACUCUUUCUGUGUAUAAUAAUUGUUCAUUACAUCUCAUUUCAGAUUACAAAAUCAUAGGUCUCAUAUUUUAAACUGGUCAGAAGAGGGCAUCAGAACUCAUUACAGAUGGCUGUGCUUGCCGGGAAUUGAACUCAGGACCUUUGGAAGAGCAGGCAAUGCUCUUAACCACUGAGCCAUCUCUCCAGCCCUAAGUAUUUAAUUAUUAAAAAACUUUUCAUAACAAGAAGAGACAGGUUGGCUCCUUAGCAGCAACACUCUGCUUCCUCCAGACAGAAGACACGCACACAGAACAACGUCCUUCUGCAGUUUGCUUCAACUGCCGAGUGCUGACCAUUGGGCAAAACUGCCUUUCGUCUAAACUAAAAACCUCUAGAUGUGGACAGAAUCGCUGGAAUCGACAGCCUAGCUGCUCAGGUCAAGGUAGGCCUGUCUUCCUACAGAUUUUUUUAGCCCACAGGGUCUUCGAGAGUGUGGCAGGCCUGGUGCUAACCAGCAAAGGUCAAGUGCAACCUUCAGUGACCAUAGAGGACCCAAAAGAGAAGCUCUGGGUGCCAACCAAGUAAGUUCUCUGUCAUUUUUAAAAUCAGUAACUCAAGUAAAAUCUUAUCUUUCUCAAAGAUCUCUGACAGUUUGAUAGCUGAGAGGUUUUUCCAGCUUAUUUCACCAAAUAAAUUUCAAAUCAAAUUUCUCUCUUAUGCUGCCUUCCAUGUGUCUAAAACUUCUGUUUUCACAAACCCAAGGAGUUCUUGUGAGUUCCAGGGAGCCGAAUUAAAGGAUCUUAAACAGGUCAGAUCCCCCAUCAAUUCCCUGGCCCAAAUUUUUUUUUCCUUAAUUUAACUUUGUUCUUUGUUCUGCCAAUACCUUAAACAGGAUAAGGGAUACCAGACAUUUCCAUGUCACAGACACCCGGUCGGGAGCAAAGAGACCAGCUAUGCCAAGAUGUGGCCAGCACUCAGCCUUCUCUCAGGUUUCCCCCCCAAAGACGACACCCACAAAUCAGCCGGAAGCAGUCUUGAGAAUUUGCUGCCCCAAUUCCGUCAAACUGUGGUGUCUAAUCUCCUGCUUUUUAUUAUAAAAAGGAUCUGGGAAUAUUAUUCUUUUGGCCCUUUAAGGGGCAAGCCACGCCCACUCCCCCCCCCAUCUUGGAUUCUCUCUUACUGUCCCCUCUGGGCGUGUGUCUCUCUGUCUCUCUGUCCCCCUCUCUCUUUCCCUCUCUCUCUCUCUCUGCCCCACACUUCUCCCUUUCCCC
This is a long non-coding RNA of Alexandromys fortis (reed vole), 2031 nucleotides long. RefSeq lists it as uncharacterized. The record is from RefSeq and is a predicted model, not a curated record. Lineage: Eukaryota; Metazoa; Chordata; Mammalia; Rodentia; Cricetidae. The transcript is spliced from 3 exons.